UACGUAGGGGGCGAGCGUUGUCCGGAGUUACUGGGCGUAAAGCGCACGCAGGCGGUCUGCUAAGUUUGGAGUGACAGUUGGUGGCUUAACUGCCAAAGUGCUUCGAAAACUGACAGACUUGAGGGCUUCAGAGGGACACGGAAUUCCGGGUGGAGUGGUGAAAUGCGUAGAGAUCCGGAGGAACACCAAAGGCGAAGGCAGUGUCCUGGGGAGUACCUGACGCUGAGGAGCGAAAGCGUGGGGAGCGAACAGG
Molecule: ribosomal RNA, 253 nt
Filed under: uncultured bacterium
Lineage: Bacteria
Description: partial 16S ribosomal RNA
Rfam family: Bacterial small subunit ribosomal RNA
Source: RNAcentral